This is a long non-coding RNA of Acanthochromis polyacanthus (spiny chromis), 535 nucleotides long. RefSeq lists it as uncharacterized. NCBI's taxonomy places the organism in Eukaryota, Metazoa, Chordata, Actinopteri, Pomacentridae. The transcript is spliced from 3 exons. The record is from RefSeq and is a predicted model, not a curated record.
ACUGAGAGACUCGACAAAGAUGGAAAAAGAUCCAGGAAGAUCAGUGAGCAACUGAAAACCAGAGAAGCAGAGAGUCAGCAGGAAUCAGGAGGUCUAGAAGGAGUCAUAGUUCCACUGAUCAGGAGGUCUAGAAGGAGUCAUAGUUCCACUAAUCAGGAGGUCUAGAAGGAGUCAUAGUUCCACUAAUCAGGAGGUCUAGAAGGAGUCAUAGUUCCACUAAUCAGGAGGUCUAGAAGGAGUCAUAGUUCCACUAAUCAGGAGGUCUAGAAGGAGUCAUAGUUCCACUAAUCAGGAGGUCUAGAAGGAGUCAUAGUUCCACUAAUCAGGAGGUCUAGAAGGAGUCAUAGUUCCACUAAUCAGGAGGUCUAGAAGGAGUCAUAGUUCCACUAAUCAGGAGGUCUAGAAGGAGUCAUAGUUCCACUGAUCAGGAGGUCUAGAAGGAGUCAUAGUUCCACUAAUCAGGAGGUCUAGAAGGAGUCAUAGUUCCACUGAUCAGGAGGUCUAGAAGGAGUCAUAGUUCCACUGAUCAGGAGGU